This is a long non-coding RNA of Parus major (Great Tit), 1413 nucleotides long. RefSeq lists it as uncharacterized. The transcript has 8 exons. The record is from RefSeq and is a predicted model, not a curated record. Lineage: Eukaryota; Metazoa; Chordata; Aves; Passeriformes; Paridae.
CAGCAGUGGAACAGAUUUUCUCCAAAAUUCCUACAAUGGAUAAGCCCCACCACCCUGCAGGACCUGCGUGUUGGGUCAGUGUAGAACACCAGGAACCCCUCACAUUAGCAAGCCACUCACUUUCUCAGCAAAAAUCAGGAUCUCAGUUCCAGCCUCUUAGGAUUAAGGAUGGCCAUGUCACAGGAAUUAUCAGGAGAUUCCCAGACCUGGAGGCCACUUUUGAACCUUACUCUUGCAAGGGAUUGAUUCAGUGCAGUAGACUUCUACCAAAGGUGACAAUCCAUUGUUGAGCCUGCACCCACAGUGACCAAACCCAGGGGAAAGGAUGCUGUUGGAGGACAAUAUGAUCGUGUCACCAAGACUGGCAGACAGGCCUAGAGGAUGCCUUGCACAGAUACUGUGGACCACAUGCCCUGGCAGAACCACACUCAGCAAGCCCACAUAAAUUCUGUCUGGAGCUGUAAAAGUAAAAAGACACCAGUUCCUUCCAUCCUGUGAAUUCAGGCAAGGUUCAACACCUUCAUCCAGGUUUGAAUCAGCACAUCAUCUCAUACAUGGAAUCACAGAAUACCCUGAUUUGGAAGGUGCCCACAAGGAUCAUCAAGCUGAAAUCCUGGCCCUACACAGGACAUCCCUAAGAAUCACACCAUCUGUCACCAUGUACAUCAUCAACCCCUGCACUGAAAGGACUUUUGAACCUCAGAUAAGAUGCUUCCAACUUGAAACAGAACAGUCCAGAACUGAUUUGCACAGAACUUUUGAUUGUGCUUGUGAAAGUGUUGUCACAGGUGGCAAAGACAGAUGAGAGUGUGGAGCCAUCAUUCACACCAGCAUCAAGGGCCAAGAAGGUUGGUCUGGAGCUGGCUAAGGUUCAUCUGCAGGGCUAUGGAUAGUUGUUGUUCCUUCCAGGGUAAAACAGUGAAGAUGACCCACCACCAGCGUUUACCCAUUGUUUCCCAUUGGGAUCCAGCCUUGCUGAAUUGUUAUGGGUGUUUCCAUAAAAGCUCGGGGUAGACACAUUCAGGAUGGCCUGAAAGAAAAUGGAGAAGUGCUUAAAAUGUUACUGAGCACACUUACAAAUAUCAUCCUGGAGCAGAAGAGUGAAGUCACUGCAGAAACGAGGGAGCACAGGCAGAUCCCUUCAUGCCUUUGGAAGCUCUGGCUAUCACUGCACCAGGUGGAAAAAGACUGUGGACAGGAAUUAUCUAAGGACCACAAUUCAGGCACUGAAGGAGCAAAACUGCAACCCACCCAAUAUAAUUCCUGUAAACUCAAUGUGCCAAGGUUUCCAACAAGCACCAUCUCUGGUAACCACAGUCAUUCCCAUGCCAGGCCUUACAGAAACUGGUCAGAAUGGUUUUGGAGAUCUGGACAGCCCCUGAUCUUUCUGAGGAAGGAAAAAGCAGCUCAGCU